This 433-nucleotide ribosomal RNA is filed under the name uncultured bacterium. Its description in RNAcentral is "partial 16S ribosomal RNA". It matches the Rfam family "Bacterial small subunit ribosomal RNA", at positions 29 to 507 of the family's 1533-position model. The record is from RNAcentral.
AACGAACGCUGGCGGCAUGCCUAACACAUGCAAGUCGAACGAGACCUUCGGGUCUAGUGGCGCACGGGUGCGUAACGCGUGGGAACCUGCCCUUAGGUUCGGAAUAACUCCCCGAAAGGGGUGCUAAUACCGGAUAAUGUCUUCGGACCAAAGAUUUAUCGCCUUUGGAUGGGCCCGCGUUGGAUUAGCUAGUUGGUAGGGUAAAAGCCUACCAAGGCGACGAUCCAUAGCUGGUCUGAGAGGAUGAUCAGCCACACUGGGACUGAGACACGGCCCAGACUCCUACGGGAGGCAGCAGUGGGGAAUAUUGGACAAUGGGCGAAAGACUGAGCCAGCAAUGCCGCGUGAGUGAUGAAGGCCUUAGGGUUGUAAAGCUCUUUUACCCGGGAUGAUAAUGACAGUACCGGGAGAAUAAGCUCCGGCUAACUCCGUG